AUUUUCUUUGGUUAUCUAGCUGUAUGAGUAUUGUUUAAUAACAUCAUAAAGCUAGGUUACCGGAGUUAAAACCAGUUUCCAUACAUCCUCCAUUUUAUCGGAUCAUCAAUUAUUGGCGACUUGGUGAGGCAGACUUACACGAUACACUUGUAUUUCUUUUAUAUGGAAAUUAAUAUUGAUAGCGACUGCGGGAUUCGUAUCAAAACUUUUGGGACGAACUCGCAUCAAUAUUGCAAUAUAAUACAAUUACUCAAUAUGACUAUUGACAGGUCUGCAUUAAUUUCGACACUGCAUUACUUUGCUAUUAACCUCGUCCACAUAUCGGGGUUUUCUAAACCACACCAUUUACAUGUUAUGAUGUCACGGUACUAUAUAAUACAGUAGGUAUCCCACGCAUUAUCAUAUUUAUCAAAAACAGUAAUUAGUUAAAAAAAUAUCUUAAUAAAACUGUAGGUGUUGGAAACCACUAACACAUUUUGAAAGUUUAUUUAAACGCUAUUUGUUUAGUUAAUUAUUACAAUCUAUUUUUAGUGAAGUUGCAUCAUUUCAAAUUCUCUGGAAAAAUUUUGUUGCUCAAAUUCCCACUAAUUUUAUCAAAUCGAAAUUGUUGAUGGACGACCGAACGCCGCAACCGGGGCCAUUUUAGCCAUCUUUGAAUCCGGGUUGAUUGCUUUUAUUAAUUUGCAUUUACAUCUGCUUAAUCCAACUUUGACUUUUAACGAAUCUAUCUGAUGUGGUGCAACGCGUAGCUUUAUUGCGUCAUGAAAUCGACGAAAACGUUAAAUGAUUGGACGAAAUCACAGUUUGCCGGAAACAAAUACAAUUUUUAUGUAUUGGCCGGUUUCGAAAGGCAUCCGCUACUGCUAUUAGCACAAAUUAAUCGAAAGCAUGAUUUUAGCGCUAACAACGUCACAUAGCCACGUCUCAGAAUUGGGAUUUAUUUUUGCCAGGUGGAACCACCACUAACACGAAGAAGACAAGACAAGUGCCCAAUUCUGCGUGAAAAUGAAAAUUGCUGCGUGUUUUUAAACCCAUAUUCAACACAAGCUAACAAAUAUUGUAUCUAUUAUACCUUAUUAAUUAUUACUUAUUCACUACAUUCGGUGUUCGGUAAAAAUGCCGCAAGCUAUACAUAAUUAAUUUCAUUGUUCAUUAUCCGAUUUUAAUAAAUAAGUUGUAUGCCAAAUACCUUCAGGGAUAAUAAAUAAAACUAAAUCACUACAAACUGGA
Tribolium castaneum (red flour beetle) is the source of this 1230-nucleotide long non-coding RNA. RefSeq lists it as uncharacterized. Lineage: Eukaryota; Metazoa; Arthropoda; Insecta; Coleoptera; Tenebrionidae. The record is from RefSeq and is a predicted model, not a curated record. The transcript is spliced from 2 exons.